GAUGAACGCUGGCGGCGUGCUUAACACAUGCAAGUCGAACGAAGCAUUUAAGACAGAUUACUUCGGUUUGAAGUCUUUUAUGACUGAGUGGCGGACGGGUGAGUAACGCGUGGGUAACCUGCCUCAUACAGGGGGAUAGCAGCUGGAAACGGCUGGUAAUACCGCAUAAGCGCACAGUACCACAUGGUACAGUGUGAAAAACUCCGGUGGUAUGAGAUGGACCCGCGUCUGAUUAGCUAGUUGGCGGGGUAACGGCCCACCAAGGCGACGAUCAGUAGCCGACCUGAGAGGGUGACCGGCCACAUUGGGACUGAGAUACGGCCCAGACUCCUACGGGAGGCAGCAGUGGGGAAUAUUGCACAAUGGAGGAAACUCUGAUGCAGCGACGCCGCGUGAGUGAAGAAGUAGUUCGCUAUGUAAAGCUCUAUCAGCAGGGAAGAUAGUGACGGCACCUGACUAAGAAGCUCCGGCUAAAUACGUGCCAGCCGCCGCAGUAA
Molecule: ribosomal RNA, 497 nt
Filed under: uncultured bacterium
Lineage: Bacteria
Description: partial 16S ribosomal RNA
Rfam family: Bacterial small subunit ribosomal RNA
Source: RNAcentral